UGGAAUAAUCUAGUCUUUAUCCUUACUUGAUUCAUUUCGUGCCAGCUAGUGAAAAAAGGUCGUGACGAAUUCAAAUUUCUGCAAGCAAGCAAUCCAAUUGGCUGUCGCUAGGUGGAUAAAAUGAUGUCCACCAGGUUGCGUGAGUGUCUUCACUCUUCAGGGACAAAUGGAAAUGGGCUGCUGGUCGUGACGUCUGUACCCAGGCGCCAGGUGUGUGUCGUCCAAUGCACCAGCAAAAAUAAGUCUGUGCUGGUUACUUUGUUGCAGCCAGCUGGCGAUAGGUUUUCCUUUUGCAGACUUGCUACCUGUACUGGUUGUAAGUUUAGUCAUAUACAGAAACAAUUCUAAAGCAGUUUUUAAAAGCAAGUCGAAGAUCUUUCCUUUCUCCAUUUGUUUGCUGCCCUGUUAUGAAAAUGUGUGUUUGAGAGGGUCUCUACUAUAUGUUGCAAGACAAAAAUGUGAUCAAAACAGAAAAUCUGAAAUGUUUAAUCGUUGCUACCGUUCCAUAUACUUGAUCCAUUAGUAAUACUGAGGAGAGACUGCUGAAAUUCAAGACUCGUCAUUUCGUCAAUAAAUUAUGUAGAUGUAGAUAUAAAUUACAAGUGCAUAUCUGGGCUCCCUUCUUCAGUGGCCCCGUUUCCCUAAAUAACCACUAACCAACGCCCGCCGGUGGUUACUCACUCGCUACGACAACCAGGAGGAAGGGAGUGGACUGGUCGAACGGGGACUUGCAAGGCGCAUGAUUCGAUGAAAUCUGUUGGAGGGUCAUGAGUCUAAGCCGGAAGCCUACUGAGAUUAAUCGCUCUCGUAAUAACUGCUCCUCGGCUCUCUUCGCUCUUUUUCCGGUUUCUCUUAACCAUGGCCAGAACAACGCCUCCUUUGAGCGGUCCGGACAAUCCUGAAUUCUUUAGGGUUACCAUUCCAUCGAGGCUUAAACGAGGGUAUUACCCAGAUGACGCAGAGGUGUUGCCCAUUGAGGGGUUUUGGUGACGAGGAGUCACUGAACGAAACACUAAACCAAAUGAAAAAAAAAAUCAUGAAAAAGGUAAUGCUAGGUACGACAUGAAGCUUUUGCUUUCGCAGGAAAUAAUUUGAAUUUGUUUGGAGCCAACGAUCCUGUAUAUAUCCGAGCCGAGUCCUUUCCGUCUACAUUCGGUGUGAAGAGCAAAACCCAAAUUUCAACACAUUUUACUGCUUAGCAACGAAAACAAAGCGAGUAUCAAAACAUUGUUUUACUUGCGCAUACUUUACUGGGGCAUAAACGCGUUGGUCAUGUAACAGGGUGGAAUUUUUUUCCCUUUUGUUCAUGCUGCAUCAAACGACACGCGAUAGGUUCCGGCGGUAAUCAACUUUUCAAGAUGGUAGACAUGUCAAUGAUAAAGACAGGAUUUUCUUCUCCGACCGCAGGUGCAAGGAAUAUGUUUGAAACUUAGAAAAGUUUGCAGUAGAAUAUUUUAUAAAACCCGACUCCUUCAAACGGUUCGAAAUGGAAGAUUUAUUCAUUCACCGAAGAAACGAGUCAAAUGACUCAAAAUGUCAAAUGUGGUAUUUUUAAAGUGACUAAAAUUUAAGCCAUUAUCAUUUAUGAUUUGAUAUUUAUUUUGAUAUUGGUUUUUGUUGACCCAUCCCCAGCAACGUCAACCUGCAGAAAGAAAAAGGCCAGUUUCUAUGACCUUGACACUCGAAGGACACGGAGAUCAUUACGUAAAACGUGUCAUGCAGUGGUGUAGAGGUUGGGUGAGAACGGGACGUUUUGCUUCAUUAUCAAGAAGGUAAAAUAGCCAUUAGGGUUAAGAGAAGGGGUGAGAAAAAAAAAUUGUAUAAAAGGCGAGAGAAAAGUUGACAGGGAUUAGUCGAGUGAGCAUCUCCGACACGGCAACAACUCCAUAUUUCGUCGUAAUAUCAGUUCGCAAUCAUGGCUAAUUAUGGCAUUGGGUUGCUGUUGGGUGUUGUAUCGUUGAUGUCGACCACGAGAGAAAAUCUUUUAAAAGGAAAGAGAAAAGGCAACAGAAGUCAACCGAGUGAGCAUCUCUGACCCGGCAACAACUGCAUUCUUCGUCAUAUUACCAGGUCGUAAUCACGGUUACCUAUGCCGUCAUGCUGCUAUUGGUUGUUGUAUCGUCGAUGGCUGGAUCGAUCAUCGAUCACUGGUGUACCGACGUAUCCUGGUUAAGGUGGAUACCAAACCACAACGCAACCGCCUUACUAAACAACAUACGCAACGACCUGAUACUACACCGAGGUUGCACUGUUGGGUUUACAAUUAAACCACCAAGGAUCCAAAUUAUUACACCACAACUUGUGCUGCUCCUCGAGCUACACUACCGAAGCGCUACAGUACUACACCGAGGCACCUACCGAGACUACGCAACUACGUAUGCUGCCCCAACCUACGACACCGAGGCUCCAGCUUAUUACAUCACCAAAGCUGUCGAAUUCUACACUGGAGCGCCCAAGUACGACAGAAAUCAGUCAAGUGAGCUUCUCCGACACCCAACACGGCAACCCCGAAGUUUCGAAUAAACUUCGUUUCAAACAGUGUAACGGCAAAGAGUGAAGACGAAUUCGACUGCAAUCACGUCGAAUUGAAUA
This 2592-nucleotide long non-coding RNA is filed under the name Daphnia pulicaria. Its description in RNAcentral is "uncharacterized LOC124311605, transcript variant X1". The record is from RNAcentral. Lineage: Eukaryota; Metazoa; Arthropoda; Branchiopoda; Diplostraca; Daphniidae.